UCGUCAGCUCGUGUCGUGAGAUGUUGGGUUAAGUCCCGCAACGAGCGCAACCCCUAUUGUUAGUUGCUAUCAUUAAGUUGAGCACUCUAGCGAGACUGCCUGGGUUAACCAGGAGGAAGGUGGGGAUGACGUCAAAUCAUCAUGCCCCUUAUGUGUAGGGCUACACACGUGCUACAAUGGCAAGUACAGAGAGACGCAAAACCGUGAGGUCGAGCAAAUCCCUUAAAACUUGUCCCAGUUCGGAUUGUAGGCUGAAACUCGCCUACACGAAGCCGGAGUUGCUAGUAAUCGCGAAUCAGAAUGUCGCGGUGAAUACGUUCCCGGGUCUUGUACACACCGCCCGUCACACCAUGAGAGUUGGCAAUACCCAACGUCCGUGAGCUAACCGCAAGGAGGCAGCGGCCUAAGGUAGGGUCAGCGAUUGGGGUGAAGUCGUAACAAGGUAACCGUA
This 451-nucleotide ribosomal RNA is filed under the name uncultured bacterium. RNAcentral describes it as "bacterial SSU rRNA". It matches the Rfam family "Bacterial small subunit ribosomal RNA", at positions 1052 to 1504 of the family's 1533-position model. The record is from RNAcentral.